GAUUUUUUAUAUAAGUGCUUUUACAAUAUUAUAGUUUUCUUAGUUAGAUGAUAUCAAAAUGCGAAAUAGUGGUCAAAUAAGAGUACAAAUCAAAUAACGAAUAAGUCAGUCAUGUAUUAUAUUUAGAUAUGGAUCGAGAUAGUACUUGUCUAGUGCUUUGGUCCAUGGAAAAAGGGCUGCAAAAACUACACAUUUAUAGCACAUACGUAUAUCUCCGUGCAACCAUAUGUUGAGGUAUGAGAAUAUGAGAUAUAUAUGAGGAGGAUGGGUCAACACGUUAGAAGCAACAAGAUAUGCAUGUACUGUACAAAGAUUGACAGUUUUGUUUCUUUCGAUCAACAGAACACAAGACUCACAAGACAGGGAUCUAUAUAUAUAACACUGUUUCUCUAUUAUAAGAUUUUGGUUUUUGCUAGAUUCAUUUGUAAUAAAUUAUAAACCACCG
Molecule: long non-coding RNA, 445 nt
Filed under: Oryza brachyantha (malo sina)
Lineage: Eukaryota; Viridiplantae; Streptophyta; Magnoliopsida; Poales; Poaceae
Description: long non-coding RNA (OBRA_LNC000009)
Source: RNAcentral